UGCGCAGGCGGACUUUUAAGUCAGUGGUGAAAUCCCGAGGCUCAACCUCGGAACUGCCAUUGAUACUGGAAGUCUUGAAUUUGGUUGAAGUGGGCGGAAUGUAGCAUGUAGCGGUGAGAUGCUUAGAUAUGCUACAGAACACCGAUCGCGAAGGCAGCUCACUAAGCCAAUAUUGACGCUCAGGCACGAAAGCGUGGGGAGCAAACAGGAUUAGAUACCCUGGUAGUCC
This 229-nucleotide ribosomal RNA is filed under the name uncultured bacterium. RNAcentral describes it as "partial 16S ribosomal RNA". It matches the Rfam family "Bacterial small subunit ribosomal RNA", at positions 568 to 796 of the family's 1533-position model. The record is from RNAcentral.